CAGUAGCCGCAGGAAAACGUAGGUUGCAAGCGUUGUCCGGAAUUAUUGGGCGUAAAGGGCUCGCAGGCGGUUUCUUAAGUCUGAUGUGAAAGCCCCCGGCUCAACCGGGGAGGGUCAUUGGAAACUGGGAAACUUGAGUGCAGAAGAGGAGAGUGGAAUUCCACGUGUAGCGGUGAAAUGCGUAGAGAUGUGGAGGAACACCAGUGGCGAAGGCGACUCUCUGGUCUGUAACUGACGCUGAGGAGCGAAAGCGUGGGGAGCGAACAGGAUUAGAUACCCCCGUAGUCCCUGUCUCUUAUAA
This 301-nucleotide ribosomal RNA is filed under the name uncultured bacterium. Its description in RNAcentral is "partial 16S ribosomal RNA". It matches the Rfam family "Bacterial small subunit ribosomal RNA", at positions 509 to 809 of the family's 1533-position model. The record is from RNAcentral.